GUUUUGAUUCCUCUUCAGAGUAAGAUCAGUAGGGAGUGUGCCGUCAUUGUAAGAUCCGACGAACUUAAAGUCACUGGUACGUGAACCGGUUGUCAUGUAAGCGUCAUAAUUGUAAGAACUACGCAGAGUUCCAGUUCCAUCCACAUCUGCAUAGUUGGGAGGGAAGUACGCGCUGGGAAUGGCGACUGCUCCAUCAAACAACAUUCUAGGCUUUGUCCUACGACAGAACUUCACGGCCAGGAUGAGAAUAAUGAAAGUCAGGAAAAAGGUGGAGACGGAGACCAGUGCAAUGAUCAAAUAGGAAGUUAGUUUGGAACCCUCCUCAUGAGAAAUGUCUUUCAGUUCUGGAACUUCAGCCAAGUUGUCUGAUAUGAGUAAAUAUACAUCACAGGUUGUAGAGAGAGAGGGCUGUCCGUUAUCUUUCACUGAUAUAACAAGGUUCUGCUUCAUACUGUCAGAUUCAGUAAUGUCCCGCUGUGCCCUGAUCUCUCCACUGUGGAGACCAAUAGUGAAAAGUCCCGGAUCAGACGAUUUAACGAUCUGAUAUGAAAGCCACGCGUUCUGUCCAGAGUCAGCAUCCACAGCUAUCACCUUGGAAACCAGGGACCCAGCCAGAGCAGCUUUGGGGACCAUUUCAGUCAUCAAGGAGUUUCCUGCUGGAGCAGGAUAUAAUAUCUGGGGAGAGUUAUCAUUCUCAUCUGUUAUGAAGACACUCACAGUCACGUUACUGCUGAGGGGAGGAGGACCAUUGUCUCUGGCUACAACGUGGACUUUGAAGCUCCUAAACUGCUCAUAAUCAAAUGCUCUCACAGCAUGGAUCACCCCUGUGUCUCCGUUAAUGGAUAAAAAGGAUGACACCGGAACACCGUUGACUUCACUGGGCAAUAGAGAAUAGACCACUGUGCCGUUCUGUCUCCAGUCUGGGUCUCUGGCAGUAACUGAACACAUAGAGGAGCCUGGCUUGUUAUUUUCAGUCACAUAGGCGCUGUAGGAUUGUUCUUCAAACAC
Molecule: long non-coding RNA, 1008 nt
Organism: Esox lucius (northern pike)
Lineage: Eukaryota; Metazoa; Chordata; Actinopteri; Esociformes; Esocidae
Source: Ensembl